CCCUUAGAUGUCCUGGGCCGCACGCGUGCUACACUGACACUUGCAACGAGUACUUUGCUUUACCGAAAGGUAAUGCUAAUCAUCAAUAAGUGUCGUGAUGGGGAUAGAUCUUUGGAAUUAUGGAUCUUGAACGAGGAAUGCCUAGUAAGCGUAGGUCAUUAGCCUACGCUGAUUAAGUCCCUGCCCUUUGUACACACCGCCCGUCGCUCCUACCGAUUUCGAGUGGUCCGGUGAAACUUUUGGACCGUGCGACUUUAUUGUUGUCACGGAAAGUCAGUUAAACCAUNCNACUUAUNGGAAGGAGAANUCGUANCA
Molecule: ribosomal RNA, 315 nt
Filed under: uncultured eukaryote
Lineage: Eukaryota
Description: partial 18S ribosomal RNA
Rfam family: Eukaryotic small subunit ribosomal RNA
Source: RNAcentral